AUCACUGUUCAAAGAAGAAAGUAUUUUCUUUCUUUUUUUUUUAAGAAAGUAUUUUCAACUGAAUGAUAAUGAAAAUACUACAUAUCAAAACUGCAGAGAUAUUGCUUAGUGCUUAGAAAUUUAUAGCUUAAAAGAUAUUUCAGAAAAUCAGAAAACCUGGUAAUUAAUCACCUAAGCAACACUUCAAAAAGAAAAUCAUAUCCUAAUGGAAGUUACAACAAGGAAGUAAUAAACAGCAGAAACUAACAAAACAGAAAAACAUAGAGACCAGAGCCAAAUGUCUGUGUUUUGGAAGGGAUUAAUAAAACUGACAAACUUCUGGUGAGACUGAACAAGAAAAAAAGAGCCUGAAUAACCAAAGUCAGGGAUAAAAAGGGAGAAUACAGAGAACUGUAAAUUUUUCUUCUCUGAACAUACACUGACCUCCUUGCUCUCUGCUAUUCUGAGAGAAUAGCUCACUCCUAAACUCCUGACUCAACAAUUCUGAGAACAGGAAUGUAACAGUCACGAUGAGCCAAAUCAGAAAGAAGCACAACUCAUUUCUGUAAGACUGCAAUAACUAAAAAAAAAAAAAAAAAUCGCAAUACCUACCAAAACUGCAGUAUUCAGUGCUGCUUCUGUUUCUUUCCCGUGUAAAACCUCUCAUUCCUCAUGUUUGGAGAGACAUUCCCUUUAAAUCUUUCCCUGUUACAACAGUUUGAAUAAAUUCCCUUGAAGUCUCAGCAGAUUUCUUAAGUUUUGUGUUACAAAUGCUACAGACAUUAAAAAAAUAAGAUAUUAUAUCACAGUUUUGUGCCAAUAAAUUAGAAAUUUUAUUUGAACUGAGAAAAUUCCUAGGGGGAAAGAAACAAGACCUACUAAAGGUCACACAGUUGGGAGGAGUAUGGGAAAGAUUCUGAAGUGAGUUCAGUCCUUAUGGAUCUCACAGGAGGAGUGAGUGGAGGGAGAAGCAAUAGAGAGGGAAGGGAAAACCUUGAUAAACAGUAAGUUUGAAAAAGCUUUCCAUAGGAGCGCACUCUAUUUCUAGUGAAUCUGUCUGAAAGCAAAAGCCUGAAAAAUGAUUUCAUCAGGGUUUAUGUACAGAGACACUAUGGGUAAAAAGUUCUGAAUAUCAGCUAUGAAAUGCAAGGGAACUUUUCCCUCAUGAGAUUAAAAAAUGAGACAUGGUCACCUAAGGAUCAGCUAGCUGAGGACAGACAGUUGGGACCUGAAGUCUGUCUGCAUCAGGACCUUAAGGUUUCCUAGGGAAUUCUCUGGCCUGGGAAGUCUCUCCAUGCCUCUUCCCCAACCUCAGCUGAGGGCCUUGACUGGAGGCAUGCAGAAGGAAGUCAGAAUAUUUAACUCGAUUUUUCUUUCCAUUGAGUGUUCCCAUUUAGACCUGGCAGUUCUUCUCAGGCUGUGAAUAGUAUCAGUUAUGCUCAGGAAGGAGUUUGUGUGAAUCCCACGCAGAGAGGCAACACAGUGUAGUAGCCAAGAGCAGUCUCUCCGCCAUGAAGCUGGGGUUCAAGCAAGGACUCUCACUUAUUCCCGGAUGACUAAGCAAGUAACUAAACCUUCUGCUUUUUUUGCUCAUGUGUCCUCAUCUACCUCUUGUUGGGAUAAUAAUGGUGACAACCUCAGAGGUUGUAAUGAGGGUUGGGGAGGUUACUGUUAUUAGAGCCCUUAGAAAUGUGCUUGGAAUGAGAAGCAUUUGUAGAAGGGUGUGGGAAGUAAGUCUGACAGUGUGAUGGCCCCUGUCCAAGGAUUCAUACAUCUAGACGGACACUCAGGCAAUGGAAUACAGCCCCAUCUUCAAGCCAACAAAAUCCCCCAAGGACUACCCCACACAAGGUUUGAGAAGAAAUUUUUUUUUGGAUAUGUUUACCCUGUGGUAUUUGCUUCUAAGCAAGCAAUCCAUUGUUUCUAAGCAAAUAUGCUUUUUUUUUUUUUUUUUUCUGGAAAAGGGGUCAACAAGAAGAGCCUCCAGCUCUAGUCCAGUGACCCAGAGUGUUGAGUUGAUCAAGGGCUGCUUCACACUUGCUUCUCUGGCUAGGCAGCCUGCCCACUCAUGCUGUACACAGUUUUCUCCCCACUCCCUCCCCAUCCCUCUGUUUUCUUGGUAAUAGGCAUACUGGAGACUACUGAAGGAAGGAUUGGUGAGAGCCAAGCUUCCACCAUCUUAACCAUGGCUGUUGUGGGUAAGUGUUCCUGAAGACCUCAGAGAAUAAAAGGAGGCCCUGGAAUGGGAGAAGUUCCUCUGGUCUGGGGUCAGUAUUCUGGUGAAUGUGAUAAUUAUCUAUAAUUUCCCCAUUUGUAAAAAUGAAGGAAAAGACCCAACUCACAAGGUUGCUUUGAGGAUUAAUGAGAAAGCACUUUGUAUUUUAUAAAACUUCACAUAAACAUUAUUGUUAAGUUGAUUAAUGAUCUGUCUUAUUUUUAAAAGUUAAAGGAGAUAAAGAAGAGAGUAAAAAGCAAUGAAACUGUAACACAACAGGAUCAAAAGUCAAGCUCCCAGAGGGAAGAGGAGCCAAGUGCUUGGAAAGGGAACUGUCACCUGGGAGUCAGUAACCAAAUCCCAGAGCCUGGAGAACUCAGCACCACUUCUGGAAGUUCCCACAACUGCCCAGACAUGACAAGACCCUACUACUUUAAUACCAUCCUCAAAAAUGUUGAGGUUCACUUAGCAUGUUGUCCUGUUACUAGAAAUACCAGAUUUAGCAAAACAAUUAAAAAAAAAUCAGGACAGCCAGUAAAAUUUGAAUUCCAGAUAAACAAGGAACAGUCUUUUUUUAGUGUUAAGUAUGUCUCAUGCAAUAACAAUUAUUCCUUGUUUGUCUGAAGUUCAAAUUUAAUUGGGUGUCCUGUGUUUUAUCUGGCAACUCAA
This is a non-coding RNA of Odocoileus virginianus texanus, 2863 nucleotides long. The record is from RefSeq and is a predicted model, not a curated record. Lineage: Eukaryota; Metazoa; Chordata; Mammalia; Artiodactyla; Cervidae.